AAAUUGAAGAGUUUGAUCAUGGCUCAGAUUGAACGCUGGCGGCAGGCCUAACACAUGCAAGUCGAACGGUAACAGGAAGCAGCUUGCUGUUUUGCUGACGAGUGGCGGACGGGUGAGUAAUGUCUGGGAAACUGCCUGAUGGAGGGGGAUAACUACUGGAAACGGUGGCUAAUACCGCAUAACGUCGCAAGACCAAAGAGGGGGACCUUCGGGCCUCUUGCCAUCAGAUGUGCCCAGAUGGGAUUAGCUUGUUGGUGAGGUAACGGCUCACCAAGGCGACGAUCCCUAGCUGGUCUGAGAGGAUGACCAGCCACACUGGAACUGAGACACGGUCCAGACUCCUACGGGAGGCAGCAGUGGGGAAUAUUGCACAAUGGGCGCAAGCCUGAUGCAGCCAUGCCGCGUGUAUGAAGAAGGCCUUCGGGUUGUAAAGUACUUUCAGCGGGGAGGAAGGUGUUGUGGUUAAUAACCGCAGCAAUUGACGUUACCCGC
RNAcentral lists this ribosomal RNA (492 nucleotides) under Salmonella enterica. RNAcentral's name for it is "bacterial SSU rRNA". It matches the Rfam family "Bacterial small subunit ribosomal RNA", at positions 1 to 482 of the family's 1533-position model. Lineage: Bacteria; Pseudomonadati; Pseudomonadota; Gammaproteobacteria; Enterobacterales; Enterobacteriaceae. The record is from RNAcentral.